RNAcentral lists this transfer RNA (85 nucleotides) under Felis catus (domestic cat). It matches the Rfam family "tRNA". From Rfam's summary of the family: Transfer RNA (tRNA) molecules are approximately 80 nucleotides in length. The record is from Rfam by way of RNAcentral. Lineage: Eukaryota; Metazoa; Chordata; Mammalia; Carnivora; Felidae.
GCCUGGGUGGCUCAGUUGGUUAAGUGUCUGACUUCGGCUCAGGUCAUGAUCUCGCGGUCUGUGGGUUCGAGCCCCGCGUCAGGCU